RNA transcript from Cydia fagiglandana, 1630 nucleotides. It is a transcript of the gene named protein GUCD1, with no coding region annotated. The transcript is spliced from 6 exons. NCBI's taxonomy places the organism in Eukaryota, Metazoa, Arthropoda, Insecta, Lepidoptera, Tortricidae. The record is from RefSeq and is a predicted model, not a curated record.
AUAGUCCGGGAUGAUAACUGAAGGAAUAGCAUAUACAUUAUAAGCUUUAAUAAAGGCAACAAAUUAUAAUAAUACAUAGUGGUCAAACUUGGUUUAGUACAUUAGAAAAGAUUAUUAGUAAAAUGGUUGUUGUCAUGUAAUCGAUUGCUAUAAAACGGACGCAAAACCUAACCCAAUGCAAAUCGGAAUAUUGCUGUCAUAGAAACAAAAGUCAAAUCAAUCUUUUCGGCGAAAUGUAUGACUAAUAAAAAUAUACUUCUUAUAGCAUAUUUUCCAUAUUCUAAACAUAUUUCAAGUUAAUAAACAAGUAUUGCUACUAGCUCCUUGAUGUUACUUUAGCACCAAGUUUGAUUAAAAUGGGUUCUGCAGCAGAAAAUGUGUAUGGUGAGCAUCAGUUGGAGCACUUCACUCAGCGGUAUUCGUGGGACUGUGGCGUGGCCUGCGUCACAAUGCUGCUGGACCCAGCACAGCGCCAGGAGCUGCUAGACAACUUUGAGCAGAUCUGCAAGGAGGAGGGCUUCGGACAAAUCACAUGGACCAUUGAUCUCUGUUAUCUGUUGAAGAAGUUUGAGAUCCCUCACUGCAUGCAUACCACUAUGAUGGGGGUGAAUGAGGCCCACAGGAAACACAAUUACUACCGGAAUAUCAUUGAUAAGGACCGCCUCCGCAUCUCUCAACGCUUCGACUCCGCAAACGCCGUAGGCAUAGAGUUGGUAGAAGGCCACCUGCCAAUGGACGCCAUAGUGCGUCAUCUGCGUCAUGGCCCAGCCUUAUUACUCAUCGACGCAGGACUGCUGUCGUGCGACAUCUGUAAACACAACAAGCUCAAGGCGGACUUCCGGCGCUGUUUCGGCGGCUCUUUCACCGGCCACUUCGUCCUACUAGUGGGCGUCCGUCGCAACAAACUGCUGUACCGCGACCCCGCCUUAAGGCCACGCACAUGUGCCACCAGCAUGGCGCGCAUGGAGAGGGCUAGAGCCCCGCCUACUGAUAGAGACGUUAUACUUGUGUAUAAGGAGUAUAGGAGGUGACGAGCUCUACCAGAUACCGACCUCGCCUUAAGGCAACGCACAUGUGACACCAGCCUGGGGCGCAUGGAGAGGGCUAGAGCCCCGCCUACUGAUAGAGACGUUAUACUUGUGUAUAAGGAGUACAGGAGGUGACACAAGAGACAGGGUUUUAUUUUAUUUAUUGUUACUUAUUUACAAGAGUGUGUUCCGAAAAAAGAUUAUUAUGAACAUAUAAUAUUCAAAAAUUCAUUUAGUCAUAAUAAUAUAUGAAAUCCACGUUUUGAUGAUAAUCAUGUGACAAGAGAAAACUGAUUUUUAUUUUUUAAUUAUUUUGUUGAUGUAAUUUUGAGAAUAGGUUAUUUAUUUUGCCAUUAAGUUUACCUUUUCUUGUAUGUGCUAAGAGCAAAGUGCUGACAUAUUUAUUUCAAAGAGAUACAGCAAUGUAUUUAAUUUUAUAUAAUAGAUAUAUAAAUUUAUGUUCUCUCUACCUACACUAAUAUGAUCAAAUCUAAACAUAUACGAAUUAAUUAUUAUGUCCAUGACAAAAGAGUUUUUUUUUUAAUAAAUUGUUUAUAAUAUAUUAAUUAAUGCAAAAUAGCCGUAUCAAUGACAGACGAGUA